Balaenoptera ricei (Rice's whale) is the source of this 262-nucleotide long non-coding RNA. RefSeq lists it as uncharacterized. NCBI's taxonomy places the organism in Eukaryota, Metazoa, Chordata, Mammalia, Artiodactyla, Balaenopteridae. The transcript has 2 exons. The record is from RefSeq and is a predicted model, not a curated record.
UGACUUUCUACCUGCUCUUCUGAUAACACACUCAAGCUCCCAGCUGCUGUCCAGUGCCUUUGGGGCCAUAUGAUUGAGUUCUGGCCAAUGAGAUAUGAGCAGAAGUUGCAUAAGCCACGUGUAGGCCCUGACUUUGGGAAGAGCUCAUAUAUCAUCCAUCUCGCUCUGCUCCACUGGCAUGUUAGCCGUCGGAGGCAGCGAGCUGCGGAUGGCACAGCUACAAGAGGGAGAAAGGCCCACAGCAACCCUGACGUUCACAAGG